UGCUGGAUCAGUGGUUCGAGUCUGAGCCUUUAAAAGCCACUCUAGCCACAGAUGCAGUGAU
This 61-nucleotide microRNA precursor is filed under the name Homo sapiens (human). Its description in RNAcentral is "Hsa-Mir-1287_pre stem-loop". It matches the Rfam family "mir-1287 microRNA precursor family", at positions 16 to 75 of the family's 88-position model. The record is from RNAcentral. Lineage: Eukaryota; Metazoa; Chordata; Mammalia; Primates; Hominidae.